UCCCAUCCCGAACUCAGAAGUGAAACGAUUUAGCGCCGAUGGUAGUGUGGGGUUUCCCCAUGUGAGAGUAGGACAUCGCCAAGC
RNAcentral lists this ribosomal RNA (84 nucleotides) under Neptunomonas marina. The record is from RNAcentral. Lineage: Bacteria; Pseudomonadati; Pseudomonadota; Gammaproteobacteria; Oceanospirillales; Oceanospirillaceae.